UCUCAUGUGCACAAUGUUACUGCGUAUCUCUUAUUUAGUGCUUGAAUUUGCGUGCAUAUUACAUGAUUUACAACGGCUAGAAUUCUGAUUGGUUUAAAAACUGUGUCCAAAUCCUUUGGUGGUCUGUCCUAACGGAUUAUUUUUCAAGAUUUUGUGUUUAUGUAAAUAUAAAUGGAAGAUUGUAAUAUCAGAUGACUUGAAUAACCUGGUUUUGCGUCGGACGUAACACGUGAAUGACGUAUGAUAGAGAUAAGGACAUAACGACACGACACAGACAUAUCUACGUAUCUAUCAAUUGCUGAUAUCAUCACGUAUACAUGUAUGAAUGAUAGAAUUUUAUGAUCGAUACUUCUCUGACAUUUCAGACAUGAUAAUGUAAAAUGUGCAUUUUGAAUAAAUACAAAAACGUCACAUCGUCUGUGUUCACUAAAGCCAGAUAGCUGCAGAAAGCAAGUUCUACAACAUACUUAACACAAAUCUUAUAUCGUUUUCUUACGCUGCUCACGGUUGCGUCGAAAAUGUAAAACCUUCGAGUCUCACCUCUGAGGAGCCACCGAGGAAAUCGGGAAUAAAUUCUUGAUUAAUAUAUUCACCGAGACCUCCAGAUCCCUGUUCUUGAUAAUCUGUACCACAAUAAAAGAUGAACUUUUUUCUGGUGUUUUCGUCUGCAAUUACGGUCUCCAUAAAUGCCGCAUGUUUAAACCUUCCAAGUCUAUUAACAGAGUCCAUUGCGAAACUGGAUGCCCCCAAACAGUCGUAGCUUCC
This is a long non-coding RNA of Dinoponera quadriceps, 765 nucleotides long. RefSeq lists it as uncharacterized. NCBI's taxonomy places the organism in Eukaryota, Metazoa, Arthropoda, Insecta, Hymenoptera, Formicidae. The record is from RefSeq and is a predicted model, not a curated record. The transcript is spliced from 3 exons.